Molecule: RNA transcript, 1609 nt
Organism: Ixodes scapularis (black-legged tick)
Lineage: Eukaryota; Metazoa; Arthropoda; Arachnida; Ixodida; Ixodidae
Exons: 10
Source: RefSeq, a predicted model, not a curated record
UAUAUAAACUGAAUUGAGGGGCUUGGAAUCCUGGCAACCUUGUCGAUAGCCACCACAAGUCAUUCGGUUCGAAAGCCACGAUCCAAUCCAAUCCAAUCGGAACUUUUCCCUCUUUUUUUUUUAUAGCUGUUUCGCGGAGUUUUUUUUAGGGAGGCCUUGUAGGUACUACAACGGGUUUGCUAUCAAGAGGAGCAGCGACAUGGAAAUGGAAGGGAGCUGCCCUUCCCAUCACGAGGUAGAAUCCUCACUCGGGAGGUGCUCAGCAAUGUCUCCUGAGGCUCUCAGUCAGCAUGUGCAUGGCAGCCCUCCUGUCUCACGGGAGCGCAAGUCCUCGUAUGGAAGGCAGUCCAAAUCACCGGAGCGGUCCAGGAGUGGGGUCCAUGGCAGCCGUUCAGUUUCUCGUGAGUUUGAGGAACUUCCGUGGAGGCGUUCACUCUCCCCUAGGCACUCUACCCAGCAGGCACAUGGGAGCCGCCCUUCCCAUCACGAGGUAGAAUCCUCACUCGGGAGGUGCUCAGCAAUGUCUCCCGAGGCCCUCAAUCAGCAUGUGCAUGGCCCUGUUCCCAGCGCAGGGCGGCCGCGUGAUAUUACUGCUCAUAUGCCACCAGGGGCAAUUUCGGGCCCACAAUGGACAGAUUUCAUGACGCAGGUGCUGAGGAUGUUGCAUACACUCAAGCAGAGACAACAACAGCAAUCAGAACAACGGGCACUCCUUGCCAACAUGCUCGACAGUGUGCUGCCUGCACCGACCGAACCUCUUGUUGUUGCUCCUUUGAAGGAUUUGGAGGAAUUCUUGGCUUACGAAAAAGUCCUGGCUGCAAGUGAUGAAAAGAAGCUGCAACUGAAAAGGUACAUCAAAAUAAUUGGCGGGGACGAUGCAAAGGAAAAAACUUCCCGAAUACUUAAGAAGCUUCUGACUUACGACAUAGGAGUGGCCUUCACUUGGUAUGGUACAAAAGACAAGAGGAGGUUCUGUGACCUGCAGUUCUGUCAGCUGAUGUGUGGUGGCUUAACAGAACAACAAAACAAGAAAGAAGCAGAAGUCACUCUUAAAGAUAUUGAGAAAACAACAAUGACAUGGCUGCGCCAUGCCAAAGAGCGCCUGGACAACUGCCAGAAAAGGGGAGCUGCACAGAUGGCACACCCAGAGGAAGAUGAGGAUGACUGAAAUCUGGAAUUGUUUUCUUUCCAAGUGAAGAUGUGCUGUUAUUUUAAUGAACAGUUCCUUAAGCCUCGUUCAGGUUCCAACUAGUCAAUAAUUUAUUUGUUUUGUAAAACAGACUACUUUAUUUUUAUGAACAGUUGCAGUCUGGAAUUUUUUUUUAGUUCUCUAAAGAGGUGGUUUUAUUUUUAUGAACAGUUGCUUCAACCUUUUUCUAUAAGCUUUGUUAAGUCACUAACGAGUCAUUUAUAUCUUUGUUAUCAGACUAUUUUAUUUUUAUCAACAGUUGCUUAAGGCUUCUUGGAUAAACCAUCAUGAAACCACUUACAACUAGUCUCUUUUUCUUGUGAAAGCAGACUAUUUUCUUGUAAAAGCAAAAGUAUGUUUGUAACACGAUUUUAUGAUCCAGUGUUAGUGUUCUUACAAUAAAAUUUAAAAGCUGCCUUA